This 809-nucleotide long non-coding RNA is filed under the name Mytilus galloprovincialis (Mediterranean mussel). The record is from RNAcentral. Lineage: Eukaryota; Metazoa; Mollusca; Bivalvia; Mytilida; Mytilidae.
UAGUGUACCCAUGUCCUCAUUUCAGGUAAAGUAACAACAAACACACAGCAUUAGAUACUUUCAUUUCUGUUUUAUCUCCAUUAUGAAAACAAUGUACAAAAUUUACAAUAUACAAGUAUAGAAUUAUAAUGUAAACUGUACACAAACUUGUUCAUCAAAACAAUUAGCACACAUAUUAAGGAUAUGAAUCUGGAUGAUUUGUUACAUUUAAGUGUAUUAUUAUUUCCUGGAUGUAAGGCAUGUUUGAUGUGUGCUAUGAAAAAACUUGACAAGCAGAUAGAAAACAACUAAACAUUUUUAUCCCAGUAUUUGUUGGAAGGUUGGAGAAGGUGUUAACACCUGAGGGAAUCUUUUUAGGAGUUCAUGCCUUAAUUACAGGUACAUUCAUCUUCACUUAAAAAUGUGUAGUUCAGGUUCCUACCCUUAAGAAUUCUGUCCCUCAUAGAUUCACACAAGCUCAAUAAAUAAUAUUAUGCAACAUAAAUACUCAAAAAUAUGUUCAUCUUACCAUGCAAUAUUCAAGUUGAAAAAAAUGUCUUCACAAUACAAUACAAAUAGACAAUGCAAACAGCUUUGACAUUGGUGCUCUUCAAUAACAAAGCAGUAGCAUAAAAGUUAUAGAAGUGUAGACUUCCAUCUUAUACUCGGGAAAAUAAUUCUAAAAAUAAAGCUAAAUAUGGAUUGUAAAUUAUCAUCCUGGACUCAUGAAAAUCAGUCUGGACUCACCAAUUUCAAAACUGGUGAGUCUAAAGAUUGAAAUAUUUUGUAUAAACUGAACACAAAUAUCAUUAUUUUAUAGCAAAAGUUUG